RNAcentral lists this long non-coding RNA (957 nucleotides) under Chinchilla lanigera (long-tailed chinchilla). RNAcentral describes it as "lncRNA (ENSCLAG00000022696.1)". The record is from RNAcentral. Lineage: Eukaryota; Metazoa; Chordata; Mammalia; Rodentia; Chinchillidae.
CUUUUCCUUCAUAGCCAUGCCUACACUUGUUAUUAUUUGAUUUCUUGAUGAUUGCCACUCUUUCAAAUGUAAAAUUCUAGUAUUAUUCCAAUUUGCAUUUUUAAAGACCAGAGAUGUGUCCCAGCCCGAUGGUACAGUCAAGGAGGACCCUAGAGGGGGAGUGGGGAUGAUAAAGGGACAAGAGACACGAAGAAUGGAGACAAGACAGGAUUCUGAUCAAGUCUUAUUUAUUGGCGGGAAGUACUGUGCUUAUAUAGGGCAUGGAAAAACGUGGAAGUUCUUAAGGCGGGAGUAACCAAGUAACUGGACAAAGGCGGGAGUAGCUAGGCAAUGGUGGGCAGUCCUAGUUCUAGAGGCGGGAGUAGCUAGGCAACGGUAGGCAGUCCUGACUUAAAGGGAAAGGCGCGUCUAACAGAAACUUAACUCAGACAACAGAAACAAUGCUUAAGAUGGCUACUAAUAUACAAUGGAGGUAACAGUGUGGCAUCAAUUACUGCGGUGCUCCAGAGAACUGCGCAGGUAAGAAGAGAACACUGCACAGGGAAGAUACAGAGCAGAUCAGGGCUAAGUGUGAUUCCUGUGUCCAUCACAUUCGGGCCUGCACUUACGGCACUUGGAAGCACAAAAGCAGCAGUUACUGGUAUUUCUGGACAAUUUUUUUCACAUAAAAAUUUUGAUAAGUGUUGAAAAUCAUAUAAAGGACUUAAGCUUUGUUCUCCUGUGAAUUCUUCAGGUAUAUAGCUAAAAUUUCUGAAAAUAACAAUUUAUGAAUAUCCUAUCAACACAACUAUAUAUACUGUCAUUUACACAUUUUUUAGUAUUAAAAAUUGUUAGUAUUAUUUUACCAUAUCUUGAGAGCAAGUCAUUUUACAAAUAUUUUGUAGCUUGUUAGUAAUGUCAACUUUUCCUCAUUAAACUACCAGGUAAAACUCUGUAAUUUGUGGAUUGAAGAGAAAG